This 133-nucleotide ribosomal RNA is filed under the name uncultured bacterium. Its description in RNAcentral is "partial 16S ribosomal RNA". The record is from RNAcentral.
CGGAGUUAGCCGGUGCUUAUUCCUUAGGUACCGUCACUAUCUUCCCUAAGAAAAGAGCUUUACGACCCAAAGGCCUUCUUCACUCACGCGGUAUUGCUGCGUCAGGCUUUCGCCCAUUGCGCAAAAUUCCCCA